CCUCGCGAGGCUGCGGCUGGGGCAGAAAUCCGUCUCUGUGAGCGGAGGAGGGUGUGCUUAUGCGAGAGCAGGUUUUGGGAGCUCACUAAAGCAGGUCCCUGAUUCUGGUCUUGAAUAGCGGAGGAGGAAAAGAAGAUGAUGGGGGAAAAGAAAAGAAGCCAUUUAUGCAUCCCUCCCUAAUUCAGUAUCCGAGCAUGAGGGAGUGUCAAGCUAGUGGGGAAGAAGAGAGGGUUUAGUUUUGAAUGAAGUUGGGAGUUUUUAUUAUUGCACUGAACUAAAUAGGCAUUUUACUA
RNAcentral lists this long non-coding RNA (293 nucleotides) under Homo sapiens (human). Its description in RNAcentral is "HSALNT0291647". The record is from RNAcentral. Lineage: Eukaryota; Metazoa; Chordata; Mammalia; Primates; Hominidae.